Molecule: ribosomal RNA, 1236 nt
Filed under: 'Robinia pseudoacacia' witches'-broom phytoplasma Rop1-2E_P309
Lineage: Bacteria; Bacillati; Mycoplasmatota; Mollicutes; Acholeplasmatales; Acholeplasmataceae
Description: bacterial SSU rRNA
Rfam family: Bacterial small subunit ribosomal RNA
Source: RNAcentral
GGGACUGUGGCUAAGACUGGAUAGGAAGAUAAAAGGCAUCUUUUAUCUUUUAAAAGACCUAGUAAUAGGUAUGCUUUAGGAGGGGCUUGCGCCAUAUUAGUUAGUUGGUAGGGUAAUGGCCUACCAAGACGAUGAUGUGUAGCUGGACUGAGAGGUUGAACAGCCACAUUGGGACUGAGACACGGCCCAAACUCCUACGGGAGGCAGCAGUAGGGAAUUUUCGGCAAUGGAGGAAACUCUGACCGAGCAACGCCGCGUGAAUGACGAAGUACUUGCGGUAUGUAAAGUUCUUUUAUCAAGGAAGAAAAGCAAAUGGCGAACCAUUUGUUUGCCCGGUACUUGAUGAAUAAGCCCCGGCUAAUUAUGUGCCAGCAGCCGCGGUAAGACAUAAGGGGCAAGUGUUAUCCGGAAUUAUUGGGCGUAAAGGGUGCGUAGGCGGUCUAGUAAGUCAGUGGUGUAAUGGCAACGCUUAACGUUGUCCGGCUAUUGAAACUGCUAAACUUGAGUUAGAUAGAGGCGAGUGGAAUUCCAUGUGUAGCGGUAAAAUGCGUAAAUAUAUGGAGGAACACCAGAGGCGUAGGCGGCUCGCUGGGUCUUAACUGACGCUGAGGCACGAAAGCGUGGGGAGCAAACAGGAUUAGAUACCCUGGUAGUCCACGCCGUAAACGAUGAGUACUAAGUGUCGGGUUAAACCGGUACUGAAGUUAACACAUUAAGUACUCCGCCUGAGUAGUACGUACGCAAGUAUGAAACUUAAAGGAAUUGACGGGACUCCGCACAAGCGGUGGAUCAUGUUGUUUAAUUCGAAGAUACCCGAAAAACCUUACCAGGUCUUGACAUGUUUUUGCAAAAUGAUAGUAAUAUCGUGGAGGUUACCAGAAACACAGGUGGUGCAUGGUUGUCGUCAGCUCGUGUCGUGAGAUGUUAGGUUAAGUCCUAAAACGAGCGAAACCCUUAUCGUUAGUUGCCAGCACGUUAUGGUGGGGACUUUAACGAGACUGCCAAUGAUAAAUUGGAGGAAGGUGAGGAUCACGUCAAAUCAGCAUGCCCCUUAUGACCUGGGCUACAAACGUGAUACAAUGGCUGUUACAAAGGGUAGCUGAAACGCAAGUUCUUGGCCAAUCCCCAAAAACAGUCCCAGUCCGGAUUGAAGUCUGCAACUCGACUUCAUGAAGUUGGAAUCGCUAGUAAUCGCGAAUCAGCAUGUCGCGGUGAAUACGUUCUCGGGGUUUGUCC